Molecule: long non-coding RNA, 433 nt
Organism: Echinops telfairi (small Madagascar hedgehog)
Lineage: Eukaryota; Metazoa; Chordata; Mammalia; Afrosoricida; Tenrecidae
Exons: 2
Source: RefSeq, a predicted model, not a curated record
GAAAACACUAGCUGAGAUCAUUGAACUCCGGAGAGCACCUGACCAACUUCCUCGCCCACGCGUUCAUCAGGCCUAUGCCACAAGGUUCAGAGAUAAAGAGGAAUUUUGCCCCAGGAUGGAAUAAAGCCUCACCCAUAUUUGAUGUAGAUGAUUCAGAAGAGGAGAUUUUGGACUUGGAGUCGAUUUAAGACUUUUUGGAUACUGUAAUGGGUGCAUGUAUUUUGCGUGUGCCAAAGACAUGAAUUUUGUGGGGCAAGUGAUGCAAUGUUAUGGAUUGAAUUAUGUGCCACCAAAUAUGUGGUAAAACCUAACCUCUAUGCAGGUACUUUUAAUGCCACUUAGGACUGGGCCGGAUAAAUAUAGUGUUCAUUUUGAGUUGUUCUCUUUUGAGAUAUAAGUGAGAUUAAACAAUAAAGUCAAUUUUAACUCAUAA